GACGAACGCUGGCGGCGUGCUUAACACAUGCAAGUCGAACGCACGGCCUUGGGGUUUUCUUGGGGUUGGUGAGUGGCGAACGGGUGAGUAACACGUGAGUAACCUGCCCUCUUCUUUGGGAUAACAGUUGGAAACGACUGCUAAUACCGCAUAAGCCCACAGCACCGCAUGGUGCAGCGGGAAAAGGAGCAAUUCGCUUCAGGAUGGCCUCGCGUCCAAUUAGGUAGAUGGUGAGGUAACGGCCCACCAUGCCGACGAUUGGUAGCCGGACUGAGAGGUUGAACGGCCACAUUGGGACUGAGACACGGCCCAG
RNAcentral lists this ribosomal RNA (313 nucleotides) under uncultured bacterium. RNAcentral describes it as "bacterial SSU rRNA". It matches the Rfam family "Bacterial small subunit ribosomal RNA", at positions 28 to 334 of the family's 1533-position model. The record is from RNAcentral.